ACCAGUUUGAGUUCUGGAGGUGAAAUGGAAGGGGUAGAAGGUGUUGUGGAAGUUGGGUGGAAAAGAUGGUGGGUGCUGUUGAGUCGGUGAAGGUAACCCUGAGUGGAAGUGUCUGGUGCGAGAGAGGCAGGUUUAGGUGGCCAGGGUCAUUGUAGUGGAGAAGAUGUUGUAUGCAGAGGAAGUGGAGGGUUGAUGAAGGGUGAGGGAUUCUGAGAGGAUCCCUGUGAAUAGUAGAUCUUUGCCAGAACAGAGGGAUAGGCCAAUGAGUGAUAUAUGUUUCAGUGAGGUUGGCUUAGCAUUCAUAGCAAUUGUUAUCAGCUGUACCGCAGAGAUGACACAUAAGUCAUAGAAAAUAGAUGUUGUGGUGGCAGCUGCAGAGAAGAACUUGGGGGUACGAGAUUCGAUUUCAGAAGAGUUACAGUAGUAGUGUCUCGCUCUCUCGGGUCGUUGGCCUGGGGUAGGAUAAGACAGGGUUAAAGUAGUGGAAUAAGGUGAUGGGUUUUAAUGAGUGUAGGGUUAGUUAGUAGGGUCAUUAAAUAUAUAUUUGUAUGGAUUUUUUCACGUUUCCCCUUAUACCAAUUUGUAUAACAGAGUGUAAUGGAUUCAUACAAUAGUUCAGUAGAGGGCGAUAAUUCAACAUAUUGGAUGCCAACCGUCUUUAAACCUCACCGAAGAAGAAGGAGAAUGCACCUGUUCUUUUGUGAUUGUUGCCCUGCCCACUAUUUGACUGGAAGGAGAGCUAUUGCACACAUUUGUUUGUGAGGUUUCUUUGAUUGUUUCUUUUUUCCAAAUCUUGGGGGACAAUUGUUGCUGCAACAUGGUUUGGUUUCUGAUUCUCAUCUGGUUUGUCCAAGUGGGCAGUGUUCCGAUCACCAAUUUCACAAAUGCUACUACUUCAAAUGCUACUAUCCCUGCCACAGUAGACAAUUCUAAAACCCCCAUCAACAAUUCUACAAAUGUGACUUUCUCUGCCACAGUUAGGCCUAUACUGUGAUUUUCAAGUCAGUCACUUGGGAUGAUGG
This is a long non-coding RNA of Salvelinus fontinalis (brook trout), 1022 nucleotides long. RefSeq lists it as uncharacterized. The transcript has 3 exons. Lineage: Eukaryota; Metazoa; Chordata; Actinopteri; Salmoniformes; Salmonidae. The record is from RefSeq and is a predicted model, not a curated record.